AUCGACCGGACUUGAAGAGCCGCGGGGAGCAGAGGUGGCGAGGCAAUGUUAGGGUUUCGCAGCGAGAGAGGAAGGAGAAGAGCGACGGCGAAUUUGGUGGCCGACGAGCAGCGGCGAUGUGCGAUGUUCAGGAAAAUCGGUCUGCUUGGUCUGAUGGUCCUGGUUCAGUUGGAAGAAAAUGCAGGGGCAGAAAUAUUGUGUUUGAUUGCUGAUGCCUGCAGGCGGUAUGGAGAGGAGUGAGACAGGGCAAGAUGGCAAAAUUGCAAAGAAAUGUAGUUUAAUUUCCAAAUCUGUAUUGUAAAUGUGAACAAUUUUAUUCAUUUAUAUUAGUCAUGAUUCAAUUGGUUUUAGUUAAGAAUAAUUUCAUCUUAGUUACAUUUUUGUUAUAUUUAGUUAAGAAUAUUUCCGUUUUAUUUAAAAAUAAUUUCAUUUUAGCUAUAAUUAAAUUCA
This is a long non-coding RNA of Spinacia oleracea (spinach), 450 nucleotides long. RefSeq lists it as uncharacterized. The transcript is spliced from 2 exons. Lineage: Eukaryota; Viridiplantae; Streptophyta; Magnoliopsida; Caryophyllales; Amaranthaceae. The record is from RefSeq and is a predicted model, not a curated record.